GGGCUCGUGGUUUAGUGGUUAUAACGCUGCCUUUACAUGGCAGAUGUCGCCGGUUCGAAUCCGGCCGGGCCCACCA
Molecule: transfer RNA, 76 nt
Filed under: Candidatus Woesearchaeota archaeon CG07_land_8_20_14_0_80_44_23
Lineage: Archaea; Nanobdellati; Candidatus Woesearchaeota
Also listed under: 1 other name
Description: tRNA-Val
Rfam family: tRNA
About the family: Transfer RNA (tRNA) molecules are approximately 80 nucleotides in length.
Source: RNAcentral